Schistocerca nitens (vagrant locust) is the source of this 633-nucleotide long non-coding RNA. RefSeq lists it as uncharacterized. The record is from RefSeq and is a predicted model, not a curated record. Lineage: Eukaryota; Metazoa; Arthropoda; Insecta; Orthoptera; Acrididae. The transcript is spliced from 5 exons.
UGUUAUGGAGAAUUCUGUCAACGUGCUGACCGUAUUAUAGUGCAGGGAUUACACGAUUACUGAAGGAGGUACACGCCUUGGUAGUGAUGGAAAUAUCCCUGGAAGAUGAGAUUAAGAAAAUUCUGAACAAGCUACGUGGCUACGGUUAUGCGUACUUACUACUUAGUGAGAAGAUGCGCGUUCAUUGCCAGCCCCUUCAGGUGGACCAGUGUCAACCCUAAAAAGAUGACUGAUAAUGGUCACAAGGAAGAAAAGAUGGUGAGCUACACUUGAUGCUAAACGUGUCUACACAAUAAAAUCAGCAGAACAGUUCAUAAAAGAAAUGUAAUCCAUUCACAGUGCAUGCACAGAUGUAGUAGGCCCUACUGUUACAAAGAAGACUACUGUGGUGCAUUAUCUGGUUAGGAAACAUCAAGACCAUAUCAAAGGAAAAAUAUGAAGACCAUAAACAAGAGAAAUUGCUCAGCUACAGUUGCAGUUAAAUGUGUCAGUCUUUGCCAAGUUUUCUAUUCAAGAAGCAAAUAACUGGAAAACGGAAGAGACCAGUCAGGCUGAAGGAGAUGGAAAUGGCAGAGACUGCCACUGUCUGCAACCGCUAAACAGUUGGGUCCAUGGGCCACUGUCAAGACUGAC